RNAcentral lists this ribosomal RNA (376 nucleotides) under uncultured bacterium. Its description in RNAcentral is "bacterial SSU rRNA". It matches the Rfam family "Bacterial small subunit ribosomal RNA", at positions 521 to 896 of the family's 1533-position model. The record is from RNAcentral.
UAAGACGAACCGUGCAAACGUUGUUCGGAAUCACUGGGCUUAAAGGGCGCGUAGGCGGCUCAUCAAGUCGGGGGUGAAAUACUUCAGCUUAACUGGAGAAGUGCCUUCGAUACUGGUGGGCUUGAGGGAGGUAGGGGUCUUUGGAACUUCUGGUGGAGCGGUGAAAUGCGUUGAUAUCAGAAGGAACGCCGGUGGCGAAAGCGAAGGACUGGACCUCUUCUGACGCUGAGGCGCGAAAGCUAGGGGAGCAAACGGGAUUAGAUACCCCGGUAGUCCUAGCCCUAAACGAUGGGUACUAGAUUGUAGACUUGACAUGGGUUUACAGUCGAAGCAAAAGUGUUAAGUACCCCGCCUGGGGAGUAUGGUCGCAAGGCUG